CUCGGCAGGGACGUGGGGGUGGCUGUCCUGUGGCUGAUGCAUCGGUCAGAGGGUUGUUGGGGGAGGAGAGGAGGGGGCAGAGGGACUGACGGAUUGGAGAGAGAUGGGAGCUACGGGUUUGGACUGAGUGAGAGAGAGAUUUAGCUAGGUCAGGACCUAUGGGAUGUUCGCCAAUUUUAGAGAGAGGGAUGGACAGGGGGAGAGAGAGAGAGAGAGAGAGAGAGGAGAAAGGCUGGCUGUGUCCAUUUUUUCGGGUUGAUUUGUUAUCGCACAGGGUCGGUGAGGAGAGAAUGGCAGAGGAAUGUAUGGGAAGGGCUCGAUGAAAAGAAACAUCCAUCAGAGCUUCCAACAACUCGAAGUUCCAAGCUUGAAUUUCAUCAACCUUCAGGCACUUAUAUGGUUAUGCCUGUGUUCUCUACCUCCUCCUCCAACUCCUUUUUCUUUUUCUUCUUCUCUUUGUGCGACUUCCAAAUAUGGUGGAAUCGGUGGAGCUUCCCACUCGCCUAGGCAUCUUUCCCUUCUGAAACAAGGUCCUUCUACCCUGCGCCAUCUUCGAAUUCACUGCACUUCACCCGGCAGUGUCAAAUUGGUGGAGCAUGAGUUAUGGCAGCGAGAAGAGAAGGGGUUAAUUGGUAUUCUCCACAUUCAAGAUGCUGCCGAGGCAGCAACAUUGGACUCUGUUGUCUCAAGAUGAUUUCUGCUUAUUUCUCCAUUUGUUACGGAUGAGUGGAUGCCUAUGAUUAAGUGGAAAGUGAAAUCUAAGAGGUUUUUUGUUGUUAUUGUUGGGAAUUUGCCUAAUUUUAGGAAUAGGAAGUGAUUCUGGUGAACAAAGCUCCAGAGUUCAAGUUUGUACAUCUGAUUCUCACAACAGGCUAGAUGGAUGGAGAAAAUCAGCAGGAACUUAUUCACUGUCAUACAAGCUGUAUAAGUUUUCCAUAGGCUUCGAUCAUCUCCCCAACAAACCUAGAGCCUUCUUUUCUCCCGCAAAGCAAAAGAAAAUCAAGGAGGCCUGCAACUUUAUAUGCAGUCCACCACUGCAAAUUAGUCUGGAAACAGGAAAAUUCAAAGGUCAUAUUUUUCACUUUCUGGAUGUGCAAAGUCUGGAUAGUACACAUCACUGGGCCAAACCUUUCCCAGGUCAGGACACCACACCUAUUGGGGCAAUGUCGGGAUGUUUGGGCUUGGGUGGAUACGUGGACUUAUGGAAGAGAUGAAGUAGCUUAGCUGUCUGUCAUUAGCUUUAUCUGUUCUAUGCAUCUCUACAAUCUUACAAUGCUCUUUUAUUCAAUUGCAAGAUGUUGGGACUGGUUACUGGAAUACAGGAUUUGGAACAAAAGUGGUUGAUAAUGCAAGAGUCAAAAACAAGUGUGAAAUUCACAUUGAAAGUGACACAUGAGAAUGCUAAUCAUAUUCUAAAAAAAUGUUGGGUUUCCUUAUGAGUUCUCUCGCCAAAUUCAAGAGGCUAAUUUAGUGAUUUGGAGUUAAUUUUGUAAAUGUAUUGAAUGAAGUCAUUUGUUAUUUAGCUUAUCUUGCGUUUGGUUUGGUUUUAGGAGAGGGUUGCGCAUGAUCUGUAGGUUCAAUCAACCUCGCUGUUUUCAUUAGAAUCACAAUUAAAGGUUUAUUCUCGGCAUUUUUUUGUUAGGGUAAGUGGUUUGGUGAGUUCUGUAUUAUUAUAUAAUCUUUGGGGCUAUUUUAAGUAAAAAUAAAAUGUUGACAUUGAUAUAGCAUACGGCACACUUAAUUCACACUCCUAUAUUCGGUCUUCAUGUUUCCAUUGCAACACUCUGCAUUUCCCACCCAAUGAAUUUUUUUAAUAAAGAUGUAGUUAAAGCAAGUACGUGCUCUAUCAAGUAUGUUUUAUAUGUAGUUGUGGUAGUUGCAAGGAAAUGACAUAUUUGUGUUGAUAAUUGGUAGUUUAAAUAUAUAGAAAUAGAGAAUAAUUAUAAAUGGAGCACCUAGGAUAUUUAACAUUGUUUUCUUUUCCAUGUAAUCUUUCUCAUGUUUAACAUCUGCUUUUGCUUAUGCAUUUGAUUCAAGUGCUAGUUUUAUUAGUGUUAAUUUUGGUUGCAUAUCCACAAACUAACCCAGUUAAUUUUGCUUAGUGUUGAUUUAUAAGGAGAACUCUCAUUGCAUCAACUUGAACAAACAUUCUUCUACCUAGUUGCUUAGCUGCUGAAACAAGAACGAAACACUUUUUAUGUUUUUUUGUUUAAUUGCUAAAACAGGUGGCUGGCCUGCAUGACAUUUAUUUAGCCAUCUUAACUUCAAGGGCAAUAUAUGUGCAAAAUGCAUGUUGCUUAGGGAAACAAAGCAUUUUUUGCAACCAUAUCUUUUGUAAUCAGCUCGGUUGAACGUAUAUAAAAGCCAAGCUGCUUAUCUUACCGACACCGUUCACUCAUAUGUCCCUUUUGUUCGUUCAUGAUUAUAUUGAAUUUUUUUUUAGGUUAAA
Non-coding RNA from Malus domestica (apple), 2449 nucleotides. Lineage: Eukaryota; Viridiplantae; Streptophyta; Magnoliopsida; Rosales; Rosaceae. The record is from RefSeq and is a predicted model, not a curated record.